CUGGUAAUUAUCUAUUCUAAAAUUGAGGAGCAAUUGACUGUUCAUUGGGCUACAGUCAAUUGUUUGCCUCUUGAUUUCAACUUAUUUACAAUAAAAUCAUGAGAAUUGGGCUGGGUUUGAAGGGUAUUAUUUGAACUGAUAAGGGUAAUUUUGUCUGGAGGGUUUAGGACAAAUUACCCUUUCAUUUCACCUUAUUUGCAAGAAACCCAUUAUAUGUGAACUAGGUUGGAAGGGCAAUUUUGUCCUCUCGGUUUUGAGUGAAUUAAGGGGUUGUCGUGUAGGGUUGCAUUUGCUGUCCUUCACUGAUGGUUUCGGAGAAUUGAAGCUCUCACAGAGAGCGGAAGAAACAGAGAGAGAGAGAGAGAGAGACAAAGAGAGACAGAGAGAUGCCGAGGGGAAGACAGCGCAGGGGAGAGGUAUGGGUGAUGGAUUUCAAAAGUGGGAAAGUGGGUUUUGUCUUCUCGGUUUUGACUGAAUUCGAGGGUUGUUGUGUACAGUUUCAUUUGAUGUCCUUCAAUGAGGGUUUCGGGGGGAUGGAGACUCUGACAAAGAGCGGAAGAAAGAGAGAGAGAGAGAGAGAGAUGACGAUGGAAAGAGAGCGAAGGGGAGAAGUAUGAGUCAUGGAUUUCAGAAGUGGGAGAGUAGGGAUGGUCAGAGAAAACCAUAUGGGUUAUCCGGAUCUACCGCUGCAUGCCUGGAUUUCGAAAGAUAAGUGCUUUUAAAUUUUUUUUUUUUCUAUCAGCUUAGAUUGUCACGUUUCUGCCUUUUUGUUGUGGAUUAUUUUCGAAUUUUUUAGUGUGUUAGGUCAGAUUUUGGGGGAAUCAUCAGAGAUAUUUAUUUCCCUUAUUAGUUUUCUUUUCUCUUAUUUUGCACAUUGAUCUCUAUGUCUGCCUGUUUGUUCUCUGUCUUAGGGUCCGUAAUUUUAUUUAUUUAUUUUUUUUUUUUGGGGUUUUUUGUAUGGCUUUUUUUUUUCUUUUUGUUUUCCAGGUUAUAGAUCUAAUGCUCUUUUGUAUACCAAUCUUGGUUUAGUUUUCUUUUCUCUCAUUUUGCACAUUCAUCUCUCUGUCUGCCUGUUUGUUCUCUGUCUUAAGGUCGAUUAUUAUUAUUUUUUUUUUUUUGGGAACCGCUUGGUAAGUGUUAAAUACAUCCUAUAACAUGACUGACUAACAAGCAUGGUCGUUCAGAUAUACAUGCAAUUGAGAUCACUCAUUAAAUCAGAUUUCUUUUAAAUGGAAGCAAAUCUUGCCUAUUAAGUGUUUGUGAAAAUUCCCCAGAGAGUUAGAAACAAGGAUAUGAUGCAAAUCUGAAUGUAGGCUGUUUUGGUAUGUGUGUGUACAUAUAGGGGUGUUAUAUUGAUAUGACAUGCUGCCUAAUUUAUCUAUUUUUCGAUUUUUCGAUUGUUCGAUCAAAGAAGGAAGUUCAAUUUAUCAAGGAUCAAGGUUUGGACUACUAGACAGCAUGCCGACUUCGGUUUGAGGUUCAGCAACAGGUUGUUGAAAUGAUCACUUAUAUAGCCUCUACUGCAAAACAAUUUCCUAAGAAAUGUGUAUUACUUUGUCUUCUGGGUAUAUGUGAAUGGCUCACAGAGUUUUUCUGAAUCUGUAGAUCCAGUGGGCCCUCAUGACACUGUUAUAUCCAAACCAAAGUUUGGCGAAUUUGAUAUAUGUUGGAUACAAUGGCAAUCCUACUUCAACUAUCCAUGUUACUAGAAGAAGAUCAGAAGAUCAUAAAAGGCAAAAAACAGAAAGAAAUGUUAGCUGCUUCGUUUUUUGUCCUAAAAAUGCAGAAAAAUCCCCUCUUUUAAAUUCAUUCAUAGGAAGAUAUGGCUUUCCCCCUUCACUAUACUCAACAUAGUUAUUGCUCCUGAAACUACCCAAUUUUCUUUUCUUUUUUCUUUUCAAACUGAGACAAAGCUCACCGUGUCUGCUAUCCCUUUCCUGUUUGACUCUGGUCUAUCUUCUGUUUUAGAAAAUAUUUGUGGUGACUAUAGAUUUAAUCUUUCAUUUUGCUUUGUUAAUUUGUUGUUGCCAAUUUUGACCUCAGGCCUUUCUCAAAGAGCGAGACUAUACCUACUGGUGAGUGUUAUGCAGUGAAUGUCAUUAACCAGAUUGGGGACUUCAUUAAUCGUUUAGAAGCGCAGCCAAUGAUGUGAGAGCAUAAGGGGAGCAAGCAUGUGAGUGCGGAAGACUUAGCUGCUUGAACAAGAACGACUGCUGCAGGGCGUUCUACAUGUUUUUGGCUUUCAACAUUUUUGCUUCAAGACUUAGCUGCUUGAACAAGAACGAAACACCAUCUUAACUGCAAGGCAAAAUAUGUGUGGACUGGAUGUUACUUCUGUUUCUUACUGAAACAGGCGUCCUGCAUGUUUUUAGCUUUGCACGUUUGUGCUUGAAAACUUUGAUGCUAGAAUAAGAACGAAACAGUUUUUAUGUUGCCUAACCUAUAGGAUAUAUAUUUUGCCACAUUGACUACAGAGGCAAGAUUUGUGUGAACUGUAUGUUUACUUCUGUUUAUUAGGGAACCAAAACGUUCAGUUUCGUCUUGUUCAUUGUACAAAGUCUUUUUAUGUCAGCUCAGUUGAAUGUAUAUAAAAACGAAGCUGCAUAUCGUACUGACCUCAAUCACUCAUCUAUCCCUUUAUUCAUUUAUGAUUGUGUUGAAUUUAUUCAGGUAAAAUGUAUCUUAUUCAUGUAGUUCAAGGUGAUGCA
Molecule: long non-coding RNA, 2708 nt
Organism: Pyrus x bretschneideri (Chinese white pear)
Lineage: Eukaryota; Viridiplantae; Streptophyta; Magnoliopsida; Rosales; Rosaceae
Exons: 5
Source: RefSeq, a predicted model, not a curated record